CAGGACUAUCCCAAGAGAGCCAGGGAGAAGCAGAGCUGCACCAUGUGGCCUCAUCAGCAAGUGCUGAGUCAUCCCUCCUCCCCUUUCUCUWCUUCCUAGGUAAGGUCAAGGGCAGGACACACCAGGUCCCACCCCUAAGAGUCCAAUAUCUCAAGCUCUGUAGCCCAGAAAUUUUCCAACUCUGCUAAUUCAGUAUUGUGACUAACAGCCCAGUUAGAAAGUGGUGGGUUCCAAUCUAAGAUCCCCCUUUAUGAAGCCUUAUGACUUUGAGUAAAGGUCUUAUCCUACAUAAAUUGUCCCCAUAUUUCAGAUGGCUAAGCAGAAAUAAGAAUAGAAACUAUACAUGGGCUGUUGUGAAAAUGGAAGAAUGGAUUGAACAUGGUCGGUGCCCAAAGAAUGAUAGCYGGGGAUGGACCAACAGAGAGUGUUCUCCAUCCAAGGGGAAAUCCUGGCAAAUUGCUGGCCUGAGGCUUGAGUUGUGAGAUACUACAGCAUCUGCCUGCCCACCGAUGAGCCUUGAGGUCUACGGUAUUGCACAAUUCUGGGCUCUGUGGGAAG
Molecule: long non-coding RNA, 558 nt
Filed under: Urocitellus parryii (Arctic ground squirrel)
Lineage: Eukaryota; Metazoa; Chordata; Mammalia; Rodentia; Sciuridae
Description: lncRNA (ENSUPAG00010009945.1)
Source: RNAcentral